GGUCGGGGGCAGAGGGGGCGGUUGGAGAGGGAAAAAGGCUGAGCGGCCCUUCCUGGUUCUUUUGGGAUAAUUCCAGAGAUUCCCAAGGCUGAAGGGACCCCAGAGGUCAUCUAGUCCGACCCCUGCCCAAGUAGGAGCCCCUCUCCCCUCCCGGAGGCUUCCCUGAGACCUUCUCCCAUCCCAGCUUCUGUGGGCUCAGUUCCCAUGGCAGCCUGGGAGGGACCUUCCCUACAUCUCUCGCCCCCCCAUUUUCCCCCUCCUUUUAUUCCACAGACUUUGCUUGGGACUCUCAGGUUCUCUUUCUUGAGCUCUCAACCCCUCCUAUUCACAGGGGCUCAGUUGCUGUGGAGAGGGGCAAGAGGGAGUCACCUAGCAUCUCCCCACAGCUGCAUCUAAGGCUGUGGCCAACACAAAAGUCCCUGGAAGGUUUCCAGGGCUGCCAUUCGACUGGGACAUAUUGCCCAGCGGGAUCCCCCUCCCCCCAAGGGUCUGCCUGAACUUAAAAGAAAACAACAAAAAUUUCAAAGCUGUCGUCAUAAAAAGAUGAGCUCCAAGUGGAGAAGCAGAAAAAUGCCCACCUAAUUGCAGAAAAGGAAGAGCUCUGGAAAGAUUUUGAAGAAAGAUUAAGCAGCUGGAAGAAAGAAAUGAUUUAUGUGGAAUCCAAUUGUCAAGGAAAUGG
This is a long non-coding RNA of Thamnophis elegans (Western terrestrial garter snake), 679 nucleotides long. RefSeq lists it as uncharacterized. The transcript has 3 exons. Lineage: Eukaryota; Metazoa; Chordata; Lepidosauria; Squamata; Natricidae. The record is from RefSeq and is a predicted model, not a curated record.